AGAUUGAACGCUGGCGGCAGGCCUAACACAUGCAAGUCGAGCGGUAGAGAGGUGCUUGCAUCUCUUGAGAGCGGCGGACGGGUGAGUAAUGCCUAGGAAUCUGCCUAGUGGUGGGGGAUAACGUUCGGAAACGGACGCUAAUACCGCAUACGUCCUACGGGAGAAAGCGGGGGACCUUCGGGCCUCGCGCCAUUAGAUGAGCCUAGGUCGGAUUAGCUAGUUGGUGAGGUAAUGGCUCACCAAGGCGACGAUCCGUAACUGGUCUGAGAGGAUGAUCAGUCACACUGGAACUGAGACACGGUCCAGACUCCUACGGGAGCAGCAGUGGGAAUAUGGACAAUGGGCAAAGCCUGAUCCAGCCAUGCCGCGUGUGUGAAGAAGGCCUUCGGUUGUAAACGUGCUUUUGUACGGAACGAAACGGUCCUAGGUUAAUACCGUGGGACUAAGUGACGUACCGUAAGAAUAAGACGACCGCUAACUACGUACCAG
Molecule: ribosomal RNA, 489 nt
Filed under: uncultured soil bacterium
Lineage: Bacteria
Description: bacterial SSU rRNA
Rfam family: Bacterial small subunit ribosomal RNA
Source: RNAcentral